Podarcis raffonei (Aeolian wall lizard) is the source of this 235-nucleotide long non-coding RNA. RefSeq lists it as uncharacterized. The transcript has 2 exons. The record is from RefSeq and is a predicted model, not a curated record. NCBI's taxonomy places the organism in Eukaryota, Metazoa, Chordata, Lepidosauria, Squamata, Lacertidae.
AGAUGGAAGGGCGCGGAGAAGCCAUUUACAUUGACUGAUUGUUAAGUCCCACAUAUUAGAAGCAAAUUAACUUUUAAUUGAGAUAACUAGACAAACGAGUUGCUUAUCAUCAGACGUCGCACACUUGGUCACUGAGAAUCUUGGCAAACAACAAGAAGAGCUUCAGUUAAAAACAAACCAUGGCUAGGUCUUCCUUUAUUGCACUGGUGGCAAAUUAAAGGAAUCUGCCAGUCCA